AUGUGCAAGAAUCUGCGAGAAGGUUUUUAAAAUCUCUUUCAUUUCUCUCUCAUCAUCGUUUCUGAUUUCAGCCUCUCUUCUCUCUCGAAACCUAGGGCUACGACAACGAUGCAGCCAUCAAACUCUAUGAUUCCAUCGCCCAUGGCUCAGCCUCCCCAGUACCAACCCCAGCAGUGGAUGCCACAGCAGACGCAGCAGGCGCAGUACCAGGUUCCUCCACCGCAACAGCCAGCGGCGGCGGCGGCUGGGUACUACUAUCAGCAACCACCACUGGCUGCGCCGACGCAACAGCCAGAGCAGUACGGCGUCGGGCCUGUGGCUCAGGCUCCAGCCGACGACGGGAUCCGGAGCCUGUGGAUUGGAGAUCUUCAAUACUGGAUGGAUGAGCAGUACAUCUACAGUUGUUUUGCUUUGACUGGCGAGGUAUAUUUACGUGGAGAUGUAUACCGACUUACUAAGACCUAGACCCCUUCACCCCGACCAUAGUUAAACAUACAUACAUAUUAAUUAUUAGUGCUUAUUUAAUGGAUUUUUCUUACUUUUAUCUGUUUUUUUUAUUUCGUAAUAGAUAUCUUCAACUCCGAUUUCUGUACUUGCAGUCUUCUGCUAUAACUGUUGCACAUGCUUUGUCGUAAUUUGCUUUUCAUUUUUAAAUAUCAGAUAAUAGAAGAAGCGGAGUAUGUUAUUGAUGGAAUUCAAUUUUCAGUACAUCAAAAAGUAGUCUGUUUGCAUAUGAGAAAUUAACUAUCUAUGACAUGCUUAUGCCUUCUUCACCUGACUCACCAAGUUCAUCUCUUCUAUCCGCUCUUGCACACUUUGACUGACAAUCAUUACCUUUGUUUUACAGUCUUCUAUGGAGAGUCUAAAGGAUUUUACUUGUAUUAGAAAAUAUGUAAAUAAACGAAAUUUCCAGAUGAUUUAUUGUAACUUUGUUGGUCAUGUCUUCAUUUGGAUGCUUGAUAUUUCAUGCUCUUGAGAGUGACAAGGAAGACGGUUAUGGAUGCUGUUUAUUCUGAAAGAAGAGCUUUUCAAUUCUUGCAAUAUGAUUAGAUCCUGUUUUAUGGAGGGUUGUAAUUUCGCUUUUUUUUUUCAAGUGUUUCUGUUUCCAUUUUAAUCAGUAACUGUUUAAAUUAUGGUCUUAUUCUUUAUUUGGUGAGUUCUUUGUAUUCUUGAGUCGCCCAGUAGCUAGUAGUGUGCUGUUUUAUAUCUGGCAAAACUUAUAAGUCAUUUAAAAAUGGUCAAAUUUCAUUAUUAACCAUACAUUCCAAGAGACCCAGAAGUACGAUCAACUUAUACACCAUUCAUUUCUAUCUAUUUAUAAAUUAAACCUUUUAUAAAUUCUUUCCAAAGGGAGGCUUAAAUUGAAAAUGAUCUCUUUCAAGGCAACACUGCUUGUGUCUUGUGAGCCAAUUGCAUUGGUGAAGACUUUCUUCAAUUUUUUGGUGUAUGCUACGAGUGCACUAUGCACCAUGCACUACUGCAGUGACAACAUCCCCCCAACCCACCUUUUUUCUUAGGAGAAAGGGAACCAUGUGUGUUGCUAGAAUUCCCAACUUAUAAAGGGAAUUUGAGUGGUGGUGUUGAUCGAACUGCUCUUGUUUUACUGUGGUCCCCCCUUAGAUCUUAUUAUUGAGUUUUUGUUCAUGGUUUUGGAGCCUAAUUUGAAAUACAUUUCUUGCAGGUGGUGUCUGCUAAAGUCAUCCGCAACAAGCAAACUGGCCAAUCAGAAGGUUAUGGCUUUAUUGAGUUUGUCAGUCAUGCUGCCGCAGAAAGAAAUCUGCUGACAUAUAAUGGCACUCAGAUGCCAAACACUGAGCAAACAUUCAGGUUGAACUGGGCAUCUAUGGGAGCUGGUGAAAAGCAUGAUGAUACUCCUGAAUACACAGUUUUUGUUGGAGACUUGGCAGCUGAUGUAACUGACUACAUGCUCCAAGAAACUUUUAGGGCUAACUACUCCUCAGUCAAGGGUGCGAAGGUUGUAACAGAUAAAAUAACUGGACGCACAAAGGGCUAUGGAUUUGUGAGGUUUGGUGAUGAAAGCGAACAACUACGAGCCAUGGCUGAGAUGAAUGGAAGGUAUUGUUCAACCAGGCCCAUGCGAAUUGGCCCAGCUGCUAGCAAACAAAAAGUGGGUGUUCAGGCUAAAGGUAUGCAUUACCCUUCAUCCUGUGGUAUGUUUGUUAGCUAAUUAGAUGGCCAUUGGAGCAUCAUACUGCCUUAAACAUGCUGAAUUUGGUCUUUAUUUUUUUGUAUGAUGUGAUCUGAUUCCUGAAUCUGGCAGCUUAAAUGCAUUGGUGGAUUUUUGUUUUAGAGAUAUUUUCAAGAGUUAAUAACAGAACGAUGCUGUUAAGUUUGCUUCCUUUCAGUUAUGCUCUUGAAUUCUUAAAGAUUCCACAGCUUACGACGCCAUUUCCUUCAAGUACUUAAAAAGCUUUCAGCUUUGAAACUUAAAACUUGCAUAAUCUCAUAAAACUCCGGUUGUCUCAAAGCAGGAUGUCAGGAGGCUCUAUCAUAUAGGGGCCUGGAGCUAAUUUCGGCUGAAAUGAUAACCCUUUUAGUGCCAGGUUUUGUCUAGGUCAGUGUUAAUUUAAUGUUUCUUACUUUUGGCUCCCCGUGGCAAUAAUUGUGCUACUAUUUUCAGUAUUUUUUUUCCUCAGCCAGUUCCUUUGCUUUCUCAGCUUUCAGUCAAAAUACAUUUAGUUCCAGCCAUUUCUUUCAGUUUCGUAUUUAAAAUUCCGCCACUAGAAUUACUUAAUAUCUCCCUGCACUACUUUCAUUCUGCCAUUAACAUUUUAAUUAAAAUUGCUUUAUUCCCUUCUCUUAUUAUUUUCAUACACUUACCAUUGAAUUUACCCUUGUGAAAGAAAGCUCACCAUGGACAGUGUGCAAUGAUCAAAGGUUAGUUGUAAGUUGAAACUGCUUAAAGCAUGCAGGUCUCAGUUGUUUAUGUUAUGUAACCAAUCUAUAAUGUGUUCUUCAGGUUGUUUUUGCUGGUUCAUUUUCAUUAUCUUUUGUAAUGUCACAUCUUGUUCUUUUUACUUCAUCUUUCAUCAUUAGGAUCAACAGUGGUUUGUUUGUCUACUUCAUAUCAGCUUCAUUGGUACAGAAAUAUGGGUUUGCUCUAUCUUGUGUAUGAGGAGCAAAAAUAGUGGGAUAUUGAUAUAUGUUUUUGUAUUUUGUACGAUGUUAUUGAAACUGGCGAGAAAGUGCCUCUAUCAGCAAGAAGUUAGCUUCUUCACCAUGUCAGAUGCGUAUGUAUGUAUGUGUAUCCAAACACUAGAGAGCAUUGUUCGUUGUCUUUUACUCGUGGCGUUUCUCUACAAAAGAAUCCUAUUAUUAUUAUUAAAAUCCUAUUGAUCUAGCAGUGCCAUAACUUGGGAUCAUAACACCAAACAUAGGAAAUAUAAACACAACAUGAGAUGGAGGCCAUGGAUUUGCAGUACAUUAUUAAAAUCCUUUUGAAAGUUGCACUACCUAGCAGACGUAGCCAAGAAAGAGGAUGAGGAUUUUAAUGUCUCUCUGUUACCCAAAUAUGGAUGCUCAUCCUUGUACAUUUUUUAUACUCAUUAAAUUGUUUGAACGGGCAGCUCCAAGUUUCAGUUUUGCCUAUAGUUAUUAUUUUUUUCACAAACGUGUAUGCCAUCUUCUCUUUGGUCUGAGCUGGCAGCAAGUGGAAUUUUUCUUUUCAAGGUCUUUUUGUCGUCUGCCAUCGUCGUCGCAAGAUUGGUUAGAACUUUGCUUGCUUAACAGUUUCUGAAUUGAGUUUUGUUGAUAUGAAACCAUGGUUUUGAUGAUAAACAUUUUUAUAUUGGCGUUUCCAAAAGUUUAUAUCAUGAUGUACUGCAUUGUUUCAAAAUCUGCUCUUCUUUUGUAUUAAACUAAUAUCAGCACCAGUCGGCUCCUCCUAUCCAACUCCCUUUUCAUUAGCAUUUCCCUCACCUACACUUAUUGUGUAUUUACAGCUUCAUACCAGACUUCUCAAGGAACACAGGGUGAGGAUGACCCUACUAAUACAACUGUGAGUAAUUUUAUUCACAAUAAUUUUGUAUGCUUUCUUUAUCUAAAUAAUUAAGUACUAAUUUAUUUCUUGAUUGCAGAUAUUUGUUGGUAAUUUGGACUCUAAUAUCACAGAUGAGCAUCUGAGGCAGAUUUUUGGCCAAUAUGGACAGUUACUUCAUGUAAAAAUACCAGCAGGAAAACGAUGUGGAUUUGUUCAAUUUGCUGACAGGUAACCUGGACAUUACCAUUGUUACCUUCUCAUCACACACUUAAUUUAAACACCAAGAAAUCAGUAUGAAGGAUUUAUCAUGUUCUCUGCAUCUGCUAUAACAGAAGCUGUGCUGAGGAAGCUUUACGAAUGUUAAAUGGAACCCAGUUGGGGGGACAAAGCAUUAGACUCUCAUGGGGCCGUAGUCCUUCAAACAAACAGGUACAAAUAAUCUCAUUUUUCGAUUUUCGAUUUUUCCUAUUUUUAGAACAGGUUUAUUAGUUCUCACUAAUGGUGAUUGUAACCAUAGUCAUCUAUUCAAAUUUUCGAGCUCAGGUUGAUCAAAUCCAGUCCAAUGCUGGAUAUUAUGGAUAUGCCCCUGGAUAUGAAACCUAUGGAUAUGCUCAAGCAGCUCAGGAUCCAAAUUUGUACUACGGAGGUUACCAAGGAUAUGGAAACUACCCACCGCCCCCUCAACAACCACCUCAGGUAGAUAUGCCUAUAGAUUUGAUGGGAAAACCCUUUUUACCUGAAAAUCAUUAUUAACAUACUUUGCAUGGGAGGGAGGACUAGUUGAACACUGUACAUUUACAUUUAUGCAAUGCUGAUUAUUGACUAGUUUUCCCAUUUCUUGAAUCUUAUCUGUCACAUUUUCCCUUGGUUGGUCGUUAUUUAAGGUUUGCCCACUGUUUUGAUUUAUAUUUACGUGGUAUUGGAUUUAUAUAGUAACAACAUAAUAAUCUGUUUUGCAGUAAUCCGUUGUGAACGUAGUAGUGAAGAACAGAGGAGCUGUCAGUUAUUCCACUGCAGUAUCGGCUGUUGCUUGGUCUUAGGAACUACUUAUUGGCUUUAUAGUUGUUUUUAAUUCAGUCUGUUGAACCGAAUUUUGGUCGGCUUGGCUCAUUUUGGUGGUGUUAAAAUUUACUUUUUGCUUGCUCUUAUUUUUCAUUUUCGUCCACACACUAUAAAGUUCGGAUCAUGCUUUUGUUGGCCGUUGAUCUCUAGUUGAGAGUUUCUGGCUGAGUUGCUUCGAGAAUUGCUGUAAAGUGGUACUUUAUUUACGUGUCCGACUUUUGAGGUUUAAAAUGGAAACUUAAUUUCAGUUUGGUGGUAAUUAGUGUGACUUUAUGAUUGAAUUUAUAAAUCAAUUGAAUUGAUAUGAAAUGAAAAUUGUCCCUUUCGUAUCCUUUUGUACAGUAUUGCUGGGGAUUUGGUGCAACCUCUGAAUAGCCGUUGCAACAAUCACUGAUUUGGACGAUGCUAAUCCAUGGACUAAUGUGUAGAAGAAUCAUCAGAGUUCCGAUAUAGGUUCAGUGUAAUAACAAAUCUGAAAGUUCAAGUAACUAGCGCUUCAUCAUAUGGUUUAAGGCUUAUCACAUUACGGAGAACUAUGCUUCUCAGUUAGGACAGUUUCAAUAGAUAAUCAUGAAACUGACUGACCAAGAACAUAUACUGCGGUACAGAGACGAGUGAAACCGCCGCUCUAUUUUCUUGGUCAUCCAGUUGGGGUAUCCGUUGCAUCAGUCUGGUUUCUUCAAGUUCAAGCAGUUAUCCGUUGCUUGGCUGAACAACUCCUGUACCUGCUUUAGUUCUUUUUCUGGCACAUCAGCAACAUAGUUUCAGCUAAGAUUGAGCACAACUUAAUAUAAAACUGAAUACUUUCUUUUUUUCCUUAUUUAGUUUUUACAGUAUGGUUUCCUUAAGUUUGAACCAAAUAAACAAAUAUAGUUCUGGUUCAGUUAGAUUCUGAAACAAACCAAGUAAUCAACAGAU
RNAcentral lists this long non-coding RNA (5980 nucleotides) under Olea europaea subsp. europaea. The record is from RNAcentral. Lineage: Eukaryota; Viridiplantae; Streptophyta; Magnoliopsida; Lamiales; Oleaceae.